RNAcentral lists this ribosomal RNA (421 nucleotides) under uncultured bacterium. Its description in RNAcentral is "bacterial SSU rRNA". It matches the Rfam family "Bacterial small subunit ribosomal RNA", at positions 355 to 774 of the family's 1533-position model. The record is from RNAcentral.
UAGGGAAUAUUGGUCAAUGGACGCAAGUCUGAACCAGCCAUGCCGCGUGAAGGAUGAAGGUCCUCUGGAUUGUAAACUUCUUUUAUCUGGGACGAAAACGGGAUUUUUAUCUCAAUUGACGGUACCAGAGGAAUAAGCACCGGCUAACUCCGUGCCAGCAGCCGCGGUAAUACGGAGGGUGCGAGCGUUAUCCGGAUUUACUGGGUUUAAAGGGUGCGUAGGUGGGCUUAUAAGUCAGUGGUGAAAUCUCCGAGCUUAACUUGGAAACUGCCGUUGAUACUAUAGGUCUUGAAUUAUCUGGAGGUGAGCGGAAUAUGUCAUGUAGCGGUGAAAUGCUUAGAUAUGACAUAGAACACCAAUUGCGAAGGCAGCUUACUACAUAUAAAUUGACGCUGAGGCACGAAAGCGUGGGGAUCGAACA